CAAGAGCCCUGGCAGUUAAGCAAACGCCCUUGUCUGUGUUCUGCCCAGUGCUCUGAAU
RNAcentral lists this non-coding RNA (58 nucleotides) under Otolemur garnettii (small-eared galago). The record is from RNAcentral. Lineage: Eukaryota; Metazoa; Chordata; Mammalia; Primates; Galagidae.